RNAcentral lists this long non-coding RNA (1086 nucleotides) under Equus asinus (donkey). RNAcentral describes it as "lncRNA (ENSEASG00005037729.1)". Lineage: Eukaryota; Metazoa; Chordata; Mammalia; Perissodactyla; Equidae. The record is from RNAcentral.
GUCAACAGCAGCACUCUCACAGCACAGGCACAGUCUGAAUUAUGGUAGUUGUAAAAAAAUGUUCCAGGAGCUCUCUCUGGUGUCCUGAAGGACAAUCAUCAAAUUAUUUUCCAAUCAGACUCAGUAGAAGGAAGAACACAGUUUAGUCAUCUGAUCCCACAAGUCAGAGAAAACAUAACGAGUGCUCCAAGCAGACCAUUGUCUACUGGGACAUGACGCUGACCACGCACAGCUUCUACAUGAGGCUGCAGGGCCUUCGGUGAUGUCUCAGUGUUUUGGGUCCAAGGGUCACGCACAAACGACACCAUCAACAACUAACGGAUCUGAUGCUGUGUGAAGUGAGCAUGAUGGCUUCCCUCCUACUCCCUGUAUGCGCAGGUCACACAGUUUCUGCUACAGGAGUAAGUGGAACUACUGCCUAAGCCUCGACCGUUCUGAAUCCUGUAGGGAAGGAGAAGCAGCAGCCCCUGAGACUCGCAAACCUCUCUCCUUUGGCUCUGCUGUGAGACUGAGGCCCCAGGCACCCUGUGUCUCAAGGCUGUACCUCUCUCUGGAUCUUCCAUCCAUGGCAUCCUCACGCCUUCCUCUCAGACAGGAUACCUUUUCUCCUGCACAUAGUCUCCGCAGAGGACCCACUUAUCCUGUACCUAAGACACUGGGUACAGGCUGAGCCUCUUUCAGGGGUCCAGAAUGAAGGGCCACAUAUCCCUUCUCCAUGUCAGCAUGUCCCUGUGCUGUGAGAACCGUGCGUCUGGAUGGCCCUGAUCUCAAACAGAUUGUUUGACACUGAUCCUCAGCCCUGAGCUUGGAAAUGUGGUUGCCAAACCACAGGGCUCUGAGGCCCCUUCCAGGCAAAUUUCGGGACGUCCAGGGGAUUGUAUGCUCAUGGUGUCCCUUUCCUCUUAAUGGUUUUGUGACUCAGAAGUUACUUUUUAAGCAAAGAGAAUUCUGUAUGCUUCUUGAGUAUAAAGGGCACAGAACGAAAUAAAGGCAAAAAACAUCUUUGGGAUCCAGAGAAUAAGCUUUCAGAUAUGUGAGUUCAUACACAUAGAAAAAAGUUAAAACCAAGCAAUAUGAAAGUUUAAG